CUCGACAACGGAUAUCUCGGCUCUCGCAUCGAUGAAGAACGUAGUGAAAUGCGAUACUUGGUGUGAAUUGCAGAAUCCCGUGAACCAUCGAGUUUUUGAACGCAAGUUGCGCCCGAAGCCUUCUGGCCGAGGGCACGUCUGCCUGGGCGUCACA
Molecule: ribosomal RNA, 154 nt
Filed under: Begonia oxyloba
Lineage: Eukaryota; Viridiplantae; Streptophyta; Magnoliopsida; Cucurbitales; Begoniaceae
Description: 5.8S ribosomal RNA
Rfam family: 5.8S ribosomal RNA
About the family: 5.8S ribosomal RNA (5.8S rRNA) is a component of the large subunit of the eukaryotic ribosome.
Source: RNAcentral